Molecule: ribosomal RNA, 443 nt
Filed under: uncultured bacterium
Lineage: Bacteria
Description: partial 16S ribosomal RNA
Rfam family: Bacterial small subunit ribosomal RNA
Source: RNAcentral
CCUCCUUUGUUCCUCCUUGGGGCAUCUUGGGCAAUGGGCGCAAGCCUGACCCAGCAACGCCGCGUGAAGGAAGAAGGCUUUCGGGUUGUAAACUUCUUUUCUCAGGGACGAAGCAAGUGACGGUACCUGAGGAAUAAGCCACGGCUAACUACGUGCCAGCAGCCGCGGUAAUACGUAGGUGGCAAGCGUUAUCCGGAUUUACUGGGUGUAAAGGGCGUGUAGGCGGGAAAGCAAGUCAGAUGUGAAAACCAUGGGCUCAACCUGUGGCCUGCAUUUGAAACUGUUUUUCUUGAGUACUGGAGAGGCAGACGGAAUUCCUGGUGUAGCGGUAAAAUGCGUAGAUAUUAGGAGGAACACCAGUGGCGAAGGCGGUCUGCUGGACAGCAACUGACGCUGAGGCGCGAAAGCGUGGGGAGCAAACAGGAUUAGAUACCCUAGUAGUC